GCCAGAUCCAUGUGCACAGAAUUGCCAGGCCUGGCUGCUUGCUUGGGUGGGUGGAAAAGCAAAACUUGGCAUGGAAUUUGAGGCUUUUCCAUUGAAAGGAAAGACAGCUACCCAAUGUUUGCCAAUCUCUUUUUGGAAUGCCUUCCCUCUUGACAGUUUGGAAUUUCCUGAGCUCCAUUUUCGGGAAGGACUUGGGUGAGGUGACCCUAGAUUAUACCAAGUUGUCAAAACAACAACAGCAACAAUAACAGCAACAUCUAACCAACACAAAAAGCUGAAUAGAAUGAAGAGUUUCACUUCUGUUUUUAUACCCUGUAUAUUUCAUUUUCCCCCCCUUGGGUUUUGGCUGCAAGGUAUAAGCAAACAGAUUAAUCUUGAUUAGAUUUGGUUAUCAACAAAUAACUGUUGUGCACACACCAAUGAAGGGCCAUGUAAAGCAAACAGAGCAGUUUAGAGUCAAUGUGAUGAUAGAGGAUAAACUAUUGAUACCACCAGAGCAAGAGCAUAAUACGUUGUAAACACAUUUUAAGACAAUUAGUCUGGAAAGAAAGAAUAGCAUAGGCAAUUCAUAAGCACGAUAGAUAGGAAAGAUGAAGACAAAUAGACAGUAUUUGAGGCCUGUGGAGAAGCUAGCAUCAAGUCAGGAAUGUUCUUUUAUUCCAGACAUCACUCAAAACAAAUUACAAGGAGAGGACUGGACUCAAACUGAGGAGACCUUUCAUAACAUGAAGAAAACAUUUUCAGAAAAUUACAGAAACCAACAUCAGACAGAAGAGAAAAUACACAAGAAGUUUCUCAAGACAUAAAACAUGAUAUGGGAAAAGAGGUCUGAGAGAAUGAGAGAAUGAGAGAAUAGCUACAGGAAGAAACAGAGUUUUCUAGAUUUGUUUUUUAUUUUUAAAUCUGUGUACCUGUGUAAGUAUAGGCACAUGAAUGCAGGUGCCCACAGAAGCCAGAAGAUCCCUGCAGCUAGAGUUACAAGCUAUUUUUCAUUGUCUAAUGUGUGUUGUGAGAACCAAACUCAAGUUCUUGCAAGAGCAACAAGUGCUCUUAGCCCCCAGACCACCUCUCCAGCAUGAGCAGUAUUGUUUUUAUUUGUUUAGUUUAUAAAUUCAUGAACAAUUAUGUGUGAGAGGAAAUAUGCAUGGGGUUGAGUUUUGGUCAGCAUUGAUGUGAGCUAGGAGGGAAAGUUAGCAUCCCAGAAAGUAGAAAUUCUGAAAAUGCAGCCUUUUAACUAGAGAUCUUAUGAGCCUAGAGAGUCCACAGUUAAAUAGACAGAUGUAUUAUAUACUUGGGAGUUCAGGAAGUGGGUUGAUUUCCUGCUGAUUGCCUUUGUGAAUUCGUCCACCCCCCUCCAAAAAGCAGACAUGUCACAAGAGCUCUAAGUAAGGUGAAUGAGGACAUGCUUGGGUUUCUCUCCCAGAAGCAGAAAGCAGCCUGUUCUUGGUUUGCAGAAAGAAGUCAAAAUAAAAUCACGAAGUGGCAAAGGAAUGCUCAUUAGUAUCUUCAGGAGUCAAAUUGUGCAGUUACAGCUGUUCCCAGCAGGAAAGGAAGCCACAGUAUCAAUGGCUGAUGAUGGAGGAGCAGAGAACAGAAGACAGAAAGGAAGAGUACUUACAGUACAUAUGCAAAGAGAAUGGACCCACCUGCCUGGGAGGAGCCUAGUUACACACUCCUUGUUUGCCUGAAGGCUUUAGAUGUUCAGUUUCAAAGGCACACAUGCUGGCCCGAAGUCUGUCGAGUUGACAGUUUUGGAAUGGAUAAUGAUCUCAAGCCAACUCCCUCCCCUUCACCCAAGCAGAAUCCUUCAACUACCCCAAGUAAUUCCUUAGAUUUUUAGCACUAGACAGAGGAUCCUGAUCAAUAGCAACUCUGUCAUUUGGGAGCUAAGGCUGCAGGGAAAAGGUGAGAGGCACUUCUCCCUUCACAAGCUGUGGGAAGGCAAAUGUCUUCUCCUGUCUUCAACUUUCUGAGCUAAUGCUGUUUGAGUGUGUGCAUCUGUGAGUGUGUGUAUAUGUUUGUGUGCAUCUGUAUGUGUGUGGGCACCUGUGUGAGUGUGCAUCUCUGUGUGUUCAUCUGUGAGUGUGUGUAGCUGGAGUCUUCCUGCUCCCGCCUGGCCCACAGUCAGGACAAAUCUCUCUCAACUGCCAGUCCCGAAGCCACUCAGAUCCAACCAAGUAAACACACAGAGACUUAUAUUAUUUAUAAACUGUAUGACUGUGGCAGGCUUCUUGCUAACUGUUCUUAUAUCUUAAAUCAACCCAUUUCUAUUAAUCUAUAAGGUGCUAUAUGGCUCAUGGCUUACCAGUAUCUUAACAUCUGUUUCUCAUUGUGGCAGCUGGCAGUGUCUCUGUCUCAGCCUUCCUCCUCCCAGAAUUCUCCUCUCUCCUUGUCCCGCCUAUACUUCCUGCCUGGCUACUGGCCAAUCAGUGUUUUAUUUAUUAACCAAUCAGAGCAACACAUUUAACAUAAAGAACAUCCCAAAGCAAGCGUGUGUGCAUCUAUAUGUGUGUGCAUCUGUGUGAGUGUGCAUC
Molecule: RNA transcript, 2534 nt
Organism: Peromyscus eremicus (cactus mouse)
Lineage: Eukaryota; Metazoa; Chordata; Mammalia; Rodentia; Cricetidae
Gene name: EGF-like and EMI domain-containing protein 1
Exons: 4
Source: RefSeq, a predicted model, not a curated record